Molecule: long non-coding RNA, 963 nt
Organism: Ostrea edulis (European flat oyster)
Lineage: Eukaryota; Metazoa; Mollusca; Bivalvia; Ostreida; Ostreidae
Exons: 3
Source: RefSeq, a predicted model, not a curated record
CAUAGUCACCGGACUUUAACAUCCAAUCGUCUACGUAUUCGUAGAAAAAGUAAAUGUUGUGGAAUUUAACGCUUUAUUGCAUCACAUCCGACUAAAAAAAUGACCAGGGAAACAGAAGGCUGACAGACAUAUUCAUAGAAAAUAUGAAAAAGCCCUGCCUGUUGCCGUGUUGGAACUUGUAUUGACCUGUAUGAGCAUCAUACUGUGCAGAUCACCUAAAGAUGGAGUUGACCAAGUUGCUGACUUUGAAGAGAACUUGAAGAGCAGAAGAUGCAUUCCAUGACUCUUAUGUGAUAUAGAAGACAAAGAAGAGCUCUUGAGAAUGAAAAAAAAACUGCGAGUUUUACAGUCAAUGAACACACCUCACGACACAAGUCCAUCCUGAUUCAGUAAACUGUUCUUCUAAGGAAACACCAUGACUUAGUUAAGAUCAAGUUUUGGUGUCAGAAGACUAAUGUAACUAAAACAUUGCAAAAUUAACCUGCAAGUGUCUUAUGUGAGCCUACUGAAUAAGGAUUCAUUACUGAACAGUUGAAGGAAAAUCAAUAUUAUAAUGAUUUUUAAAAAAAGAUGAUUGUGUUGUUUGGAUAACAUUGUGAUCCAUGUUUGUUGAAUAAACAACUUUGCAAAAAUGAGUUGUUCUGUGUUAAUAUUAUAAAUUUACUAAUUACUGGUAUGUCAACAUAGAUUACAGUAACACUGAACAAACUUCAAUAAAUUUUAAAGUUUCAUGCAGUUUCUGCAGUAGAAAAUGACACCUAUUGAUUUUCUGGUCCAAAGGUCACCAGGUGCAAUACAAUACUCUGUACAAUUGAUGUCUGACCAGUUUCUUCAGAACCCUUUGAUUGAUAGUGAUAUUUCAUACAGGGGUUGGUCACUGGUAGUAUAUGACCCCCAUUGAUUUUCAGGUCAAAAGAUUAAAAAUGGCAGGGGCCUCCGUGGCCGAGUGGUUGGAACAUAGCG